RNAcentral lists this unclassified non-coding RNA (150 nucleotides) under uncultured Sordariomycetes. RNAcentral describes it as "sequence contains ITS1". Lineage: Eukaryota; Fungi; Ascomycota; Sordariomycetes. The record is from RNAcentral.
AAGAGUUUUCACACUCAGACCCGACGCGUACCUGAAACUGUUGCUUCGGCGGGCCGCUGGCUCUUGCCGCGCCCGCCGAAGGUUUACAUUAGGCUCUUAGCUGGGGUGCUAUUCCCCAUACUGUCCUCUGAAUCGCUUCCAAACUAGUCA